ACUCCUACGGGAGGCAGCAGUGGGGAAUAUUGCACAAUGGGCGAAAGCCUGAUCCAGCAAUGCCGCGUGUGUGAAGAAGGCCUUCGGGUUGUAAAGCACUUUUAGCGGGAGGGAAAUCCUGCCGGUUAAUACCUGGGGUGAUUGACGUAACCGCA
This 155-nucleotide ribosomal RNA is filed under the name uncultured bacterium. RNAcentral's name for it is "partial 16S ribosomal RNA". It matches the Rfam family "Bacterial small subunit ribosomal RNA", at positions 335 to 482 of the family's 1533-position model. The record is from RNAcentral.